Molecule: ribosomal RNA, 253 nt
Filed under: uncultured bacterium
Lineage: Bacteria
Description: partial 16S ribosomal RNA
Rfam family: Bacterial small subunit ribosomal RNA
Source: RNAcentral
GACGUAGGGCGCGAGCGUUGUCCGGAUUUACUGGGCGUAAAGAGCUCGUAGGUGGUUUGUCGCGUUGUUCGUGAAAACUCACAGCUCAACUGUGGGCGUGCGGGCGAUACGGGCAGACUGGAGUACUGCAGGGGAGACUGGAAUUCCUGGUGUAGCGGUGGAAUGCGCAGAUAUCAGGAAGAACACCAAUGGCGAAAGCAGCUCUCUGGGACGGUACUGACGCUGAGACGCGAAAGCGUGGGGAGCGAACAGG